This is a long non-coding RNA of Lathyrus oleraceus (garden pea), 817 nucleotides long. RefSeq lists it as uncharacterized. The transcript has 2 exons. NCBI's taxonomy places the organism in Eukaryota, Viridiplantae, Streptophyta, Magnoliopsida, Fabales, Fabaceae. The record is from RefSeq and is a predicted model, not a curated record.
AUCAUGUUAAAAGUGAAACUCAGAUUCAAACACACGUGCGUAUUCAAACUUGGCUUCCUCUUCUUCGUUCCUCCCUCCGCCGUGUCGGAGGUUGUCCUCGGCGGUGGAGGCUCUCUAAAGUCUAAAUUGAAAUCACCAUCCGAACUGAAAUCUCAUCUUGAAACCAAAUCCUACCACAAAAUCAUCUAAUUCUAACAGACAAGUCCGAAUUGAAGGCUACAACCGAAGAACCCUAGCUCGAAGAAUCAAAAUUAAAUGGCGUUUGUUAGGAAUCAAAGCCCCCGGGGUUAGGGCUUUGAUUCCCCUGACCUCAAAUCACAUCGUAGUAACAAGAACCAAAGCAAAUAGUGGAGGAAAUGAAAACUUACUGGUGGAGUAAGCUUCGGUCGUUACCGGAAUUUCAGGGAUUUGGUUUGUUAUGCAAUCUGAAAUGCAAAUGAAAUUAAAAUGCAGGUUUGAUUGGAUUUCAAUGUUGAACUAAGUUUCUCUGGUUUAUGCAAGUCAUGGCUGCUAAAAUGCAGGGCUGCUUGGCCGAGCUCGAAUUUGCUUGCUUGAGUUUGGAUAUGUUGAAGGGUUGCUAGCUAGAGGUUGGAUCUAUUUGGACCAAUUAUACAAGACUCCUAUUUGGACCUUUCAUGGAGCUUGUUUGGUUAUGGAUUUGUUUGGAAAGUCAUGGAAUUUUGCAUUUGGUUGUAAUGUUAUGCAUAGAAAUGUUGAUGUUUAGCAAUUUGAAUUUGAUUGAUAUUGGAAGUAUGUAUGUAAUUGGAUUGAAUGGUUAUAAUGAAUGUUAUGAAAUAAAAUUUGAAUUGAAAUUGAA